UGGGGAAUAUUGGACAAUGGGCGAAAGCCUGAUCCAGCCAUGCCGCGUGUGUGAAGAAGGUCUUCGGAUUGUAAAGCACUUUAAGUUGGGAGGAAGGGCAGUAAGCGAAUACCUUGCUGUUUUGACGUUACCGACAGAAUAAGCACCGGCUAACUCUGUGCCAGCAGCCGCGGUAAUACAGAGGGUGCAAGCGUUAAUCGGAAUUACUGGGCGUAAAGCGCGCGUAGGUGGUUCGUUAAGUUGAAUGUGAAAGCCCCGGGCUCAACCUGGGAACUGCAUCCAAAACUGGCGGGCUAGAGUAGGGCAGGGGGUGGUGGAAUUUCCUGUGUAGCGGUGAAAUGCGUAGAUAUAGGAAGGAACACCAGUGGCGAAGGCGACCACCUGGGCUCAUACUGACACUGAGGUGCGAAAGCGUGGGGAGCAAACAGG
This 429-nucleotide ribosomal RNA is filed under the name Pseudomonadota bacterium. RNAcentral's name for it is "Proteobacteria bacterium partial 16S ribosomal RNA". It matches the Rfam family "Bacterial small subunit ribosomal RNA", at positions 355 to 776 of the family's 1533-position model. Lineage: Bacteria; Pseudomonadati; Pseudomonadota. The record is from RNAcentral.